UUAUGUGGAUGAAUUGGUGAAGAAGGCAUAUGAAAAUUGGAUGCAUGUUAUAGAGUAUGAUGGCAAAACACUUCUAGACUUCAAGCAGAAUCAGAACAUUGCUUCUUCCCAAUCUGACCUGCCUGCUGGUCAACAAGAUUUUUUGAACUCAUAUGAUCAUCAGAUUACUUUGCCUACUCUAUCAGUUUCAGUUCCUCCAGAGCAGCCUGCCAUGGACUCAGUUCCAACAGUUGGAGGUUACAAUGAUAGAAUGGCUGCAAGAUCCUCAAUGCAAUCACAGAAUGGAAAUCCAAACAUGCCUUUUCAAUUUGAUGCCACUUCAUUACCUCUACAGAACCCUUUGGUCAGUACUUCACAGCAUGCACAGUUUCCAAGAAGUAACAAUUUACUGGCACUUGCUACGCCAGAGUCAUCUACGUCAAGCUUCCAAGGUGUUUGUACGCCAAACCUUAAUUCUUACAGGGGAGCUGAGGAUUUCUUCCAAGAGGAGGAGAUUCGAAUGAGAAGUCAUGAGAUGCUUGAAAAUGAAGAUAUGCAACAUCUUCUUCAUAUAUUCAACAUGGGAAGCCAGGGCCAUUCCUCUUUCAAUGCAACUGAAGAUGGCUACCCUUACUCAUCAGCAAGCGUGCCUGCCCCAUCUCCAAAUUACAGCCACGGUGAAGAUCAGUCUCGUUCAUCAGGCAAAGCUGUCAUGGGAUGGCUUAAGCUCAAGGCAGCCCUUAGAUGGGGCAUCUUUAUUAGGAAAAAGGCUGCUGAGAGGAGGGCACAGCUCGUAGAGUUGGAUGAUCCUUAAAUAUGGCUUGUGAAGCAAUAAUAGUUAAGUUUUUGGAGUUAGCAGGCUUCCUCCUUUUCGACCAAAUUCCUGUCUAAUUCAAUUAGAGACCAAGGUUUUGGAGUUGCGUGGCUUGCUAGGGGUUUAUUGGAUGUCCUGCUGUUGUUGAAUUAUAAUCCUUGACUUUUAGGACCUCUCUUUCUAUCAGUGUACAGUCCUUGAAGAUCAACUUGGUUCCAAUGGUGGUACUUGAUCGAAGCUUCUAAUAUUCAGUGGGGCAUUUCCUGAAGCUGAAAAACUCAGCCAUGGGUCUGUCUACAUUAGAGAAAAUAGAUAGGACAAAGAAUCUGAGGCUAAUAUUAUUCAUGAUUUAAUUGGCUAGUGCAGUUAUAUCUUGUUAUGGUGUUUUUCUUGGGUUCCAGCAAAAAUGAACAGCUUUUAUUGAAUAUUCCUUUGUAAAAUUAUAAUAAUUGCUGGUUUUGGGAAUGAAAUUCCUCAGUUGAAUGGUU
This 1281-nucleotide unclassified non-coding RNA is filed under the name Hevea brasiliensis (rubber tree). Lineage: Eukaryota; Viridiplantae; Streptophyta; Magnoliopsida; Malpighiales; Euphorbiaceae. The record is from RNAcentral.